RNAcentral lists this ribosomal RNA (568 nucleotides) under Paenibacillus sp. enrichment culture clone M5C16. RNAcentral describes it as "bacterial SSU rRNA". It matches the Rfam family "Bacterial small subunit ribosomal RNA", at positions 335 to 896 of the family's 1533-position model. The record is from RNAcentral. Lineage: Bacteria; Bacillati; Bacillota; Bacilli; Caryophanales; Paenibacillaceae.
ACUCCUACGGGAGGCAGCAAUAGAGAAUCUUCCGCACUGGGCGAAAGCCUGACGGAGCAACGCCGCGUGAGCGAUGAGGGUUAUCGGAUCGUGAAGCUCUGUUGUCAAGGAAUAACGUCUCUUAGCGUAACUGGUAUGAGAGGGCCGGUACUUGAGAGGAAAGCCCGGGCUACUUACGUGCCGGCGGCCGCGUUAAUACGUAGGGGGCAAGCUUUGUCCGGAAUUAUUGGGCGAAAAGCGCGCGCAGGCGGUUCUUAAAGUUUAGUGGAUAAACCCGGGGCUCACUUCAGGUCGCACUUGAAACUGGGGAACUCGAGUGCAGAAGAGGAGAGAGGAAUUCCAUCAGUAGCGGUGAAAUGCGUAGAUAUGUGGAGGAACACCAGUGGCGAAGGCGACUCUUUGGGCUGUAACUGACGGUGAGGCGUGAAAGCGUGGGGGGCAAACAAGAAUAGAUACCCUGGUAGUUCAACCCCUAAACGAAGAGUGAUUAGUGUUGGAGGGUUUCCGCCCUUCAGUGCCGCCGCUAACGCAUUAAGCACUCCGCCUGGGGAGUACGACCGCAAGAUUG